CAAUAGCGUAUAUUUAAGUUGUUGCAGUUAAAAAGCUCGUAGUUGGAUUUCGGUUAAGAGCGACCGGUCCGCCGUUUGGUGUGCACUGGUUGGUUUUAACUUCCUGUAGAGGACGUGCUCUGGGUUUAACGACCUGGACUCGGAGUCUACGUGGUUACUUUGAAAAAAUUAGAGUGUUCAAAGCGGGCUUACGCUUGAAUAUUUCAGCAUGGAAUAACACUAUAGGACUCCUGUCCUAUUUCGUUGGUCUCGGGACGGGAGUAAUGAUUAAGAGGAACAGUUGGGGGCAUUCGUAUUUCAUUGUCAGAGGUGAAAUUCUUGGAUUUAUGAAAGACGAACUUCUGCGANANCAUUUUNCAAGGAUGUUNUCAUUNA
Molecule: ribosomal RNA, 375 nt
Filed under: uncultured eukaryote
Lineage: Eukaryota
Description: partial 18S ribosomal RNA
Rfam family: Eukaryotic small subunit ribosomal RNA
Source: RNAcentral